This 899-nucleotide ribosomal RNA is filed under the name Beauveria medogensis. RNAcentral's name for it is "partial large subunit ribosomal RNA". It matches the Rfam family "Eukaryotic large subunit ribosomal RNA", at positions 35 to 966 of the family's 3401-position model. The record is from RNAcentral. Lineage: Eukaryota; Fungi; Ascomycota; Sordariomycetes; Hypocreales; Cordycipitaceae.
UAAGCAUAUCAAUAAGCGGAGGAAAAGAAACCAACAGGGAUUGCCCCAGUAACGGCGAGUGAAGCGGCAACAGCUCAAAUUUGAAAUCUGGCCCUCGGGUCCGAGUUGUAAUUUGUAGAGGAUGCUUUUGGCGAGGUGCCUUCCGAGUUCCCUGGAACGGGACGCCACAGAGGGUGAGAGCCCCGUAUGGUCGGACACCGAGCCUCUGUAAAGCUCCUUCGACGAGUCGAGUAGUUUGGGAAUGCUGCUCAAAAUGGGAGGUAUAUGUCUUCUAAAGCUAAAUAUUGGCCAGAGACCGAUAGCGCACAAGUAGAGUGAUCGAAAGAUGAAAAGCACUUUGAAAAGAGGGUUAAAAAGUACGUGAAAUUGUUGAAAGGGAAGCGCCUAUGACCAGACUUGGGCCCGGUGAAUCAUCCAGCGUUCUCGCUGGUGCACUUUGCCGGGCACAGGCCAGCAUCAGUUUGGCGCGGGGGAAAAAGGCUUCGGGAAUGUGGCUCCCUCGGGAGUGUUAUAGCCCGCUGCGUAAUACCCUGCGCCGGACUGAGGUACGCGCAUUGCAAGGAUGCUGGCGUAAUGGUCAUCAGCGACCCGUCUUGAAACACGGACCAAGGAGUCGUCUUCGUAUGCGAGUGUUCGGGUGUCAAACCCCUACGCGUAAUGAAAGUGAACGCAGGUGAGAGCUUCGGCGCAUCACCGACCGAUCCUGAUGUUCUCGGAUGGAUUUGAGUAAGAGCAUACGGGGCCGGACCCGAAAGAAGGUGAACUAUGCCUGUAUAGGGUGAAGCCAGAGGAAACUCUGGUGGAGGCUCGCAGCGGUUCUGACGUGCGAAUCGAUCGUCAAAUAUGGGCAUGGGGGCGAAAGACUAAUCGAAGCUUCUAGUAUCUGGUUUCCGCCGAAG